CAGUAGUUGCAGCAGUAGUAACAACAGCAGUAGUUGCAGCAGCAGCAACAGCAGUAGUUGCAGCAACAGCAGCAGCAGCAGUAGUAGCAGCAACAGCAGUAGUAGCAGCAACAGCAGUAGUAGCAGCAACAGCAGCAACAGCAGUAGUAGCAGCAACAGCAGUAGUAGCAGCAACAGCAGUAGUAGCAGCAGCAGCAGCAGUAGUAACAGCAGCAGUAGUAGCAGCAACAGCAGCAGUAGCAGCAACAGCAGUAGUAGUAGCAGCAACAGCAGCAGUAGUAGCAGCAGCAGCAGCAGCAGCAGCAGAGCAGCAGCAGCAGCAGCAGUAGUAGAAGCAGCAGCAGCAGUAACAACAGCAGCAGCAGUAACAACAGCAGCAGCAGCAGUAACAACAGCAACAGCAGCAGCAGUAACAGCAGCAGCAGUAGCAGCAGCAGCAGCAGCAGUAACAACAGCAGCAGCAGCAGUAACAACAGCAGCAGCAGCAGUAACAACAGCAGCAGCAGUAGCAACAGCAGCAGCAGCAGUAACAACAGCAGCAGCAGCAGUAACAACAGCAGCAGCAGUAACAACAGCAGCAGCAGCAGUAACAACAGCAGCAGCAGCAGUAACAGCAGCAGCAGCAGCAGUAACAACAGCAGCAGCAGUAACAGCAGCAGCAGCAGCAGUACCAGCAGCAGUAGUAACAGCAGCAGCAGCAGUAGUAACAGCAGCAGCAGCAGUAGUAACAGCAGCAGCAGCAGUAGUAACAGCAGCAGCAGUAGUAACAGCAGCAGCAGCAGUAGCAACAACAGCAGCAGCAGUAGUAACAGCAGCAGCAGCAGUAGUAACAGCAGCAGCAGCAACAGCAGCAGUAGUAGCAGCAGCAGCAGUAACAACAACAGCAGCAGCAGCAGUAGCAACAACAGCAGCAGCAGCAGCAGCAUAA
This 928-nucleotide long non-coding RNA is filed under the name Salmo salar (Atlantic salmon). RNAcentral's name for it is "lncRNA (ENSSSAG00000087679.1)". Lineage: Eukaryota; Metazoa; Chordata; Actinopteri; Salmoniformes; Salmonidae. The record is from RNAcentral.